GCUGGGGUGGCGAAAUUGGUAGACGCAUCAGCCUUAGGAGCUGACGGGGUAACCCAUUGGAGGUUCGAGUCCUCUCCCCAGCA
Molecule: transfer RNA, 83 nt
Filed under: Candidatus Kaiserbacteria bacterium
Lineage: Bacteria; Candidatus Kaiseribacteriota
Also listed under: 1 other name
Description: tRNA-Leu
Rfam family: tRNA
About the family: Transfer RNA (tRNA) molecules are approximately 80 nucleotides in length. Their secondary structure includes four short double-helical elements and three loops (D, anti-codon, and T loops).
Source: RNAcentral